UAUCAAACCAUAUUUUACUUUUCACAUUCAAAGAGGAAAAAAAAAAUGGCUAAAAUUAUCAAGUUUGUGUAUGAUAUAAUACUAUUUUUUUUCAUAUUUAUUCUUGCGACGGAAGGACUUAAUUUACCUAUGGUAUGUGACAUAGAUGCCGAUUGUCCGAAGUCUGAAGACUACUAUUAUGAGUUAAUGUGCAUUCUUCACAAAUGUAUAUUUGUUUUCAAACUAGACCCAGAGCCCGGUUUGGGAAGGAUAAUACACUAGCGUUUAUAAGCUAAAAGCUCGGUUUGGAAAAAAGUGUACGAGUUGAAGAAAGGAGCGAAAAUGAACUGAAAAGGAGUAGAAAUGGACAAAAAAGGCCACACACGUGCAGCAUAGGGCCACACAUGUGCGGCCCGUCAAAAUCACGCAGCAGCCCACCAGCCAACAACAAUGGCGCACGCCAAGUUGGGCCUAGUGGCGGUCGCCAGCCAAUCUCAGCCGUCCAAUUUGAUUCAAAUUGUGUGGCGUUCGCCACACCUGCAAUUAGUCCCACAUCGUUUAUUUGCAAUGUUUUGUCUCCUAGCUACUAGUAUAAAUAUGUGUCCUUUCUUACACUUUAAAGGACACACCAAUUUAUAACAGUUGAUGAAGAGAAUUGAGACUUAGAUUUAUUCUAAGUUUCUUCUCUUAGUUUAAAUUUUUAUUCGCUGCUGUUGCGCUGUUGGUGUCCGUACUCAAGAUUUCUUUUAUUAAUUCAGGUUCUUUAUUUUA
Trifolium pratense (red clover) is the source of this 750-nucleotide long non-coding RNA. RefSeq lists it as uncharacterized. NCBI's taxonomy places the organism in Eukaryota, Viridiplantae, Streptophyta, Magnoliopsida, Fabales, Fabaceae. The transcript is spliced from 3 exons. The record is from RefSeq and is a predicted model, not a curated record.